RNAcentral lists this long non-coding RNA (206 nucleotides) under Sorghum bicolor (sorghum). Its description in RNAcentral is "long non-coding RNA (SBIC_LNC008905)". Lineage: Eukaryota; Viridiplantae; Streptophyta; Magnoliopsida; Poales; Poaceae. The record is from RNAcentral.
CCCCUGUAAUAAUAUUGCUCUGCCAGCCCAAUACACGAGAGGGGGACUAUAUAAGAGUCAAUGAAGCUGUCACUAUCACGAACUACCCCGCGAUCUAGCAUAUUGGGUACAAUCGUAGAUAAAUACGGUAUAAGCACCACGCCUACACAAUAUCUAUCAUUUACCCAUGGAUCCGAUGGAUAAACGCUAUACGAUCCUAAGCAUGU